Paramormyrops kingsleyae is the source of this 3209-nucleotide long non-coding RNA. RefSeq lists it as uncharacterized. Lineage: Eukaryota; Metazoa; Chordata; Actinopteri; Osteoglossiformes; Mormyridae. The record is from RefSeq and is a predicted model, not a curated record.
UCAUCCCCUCCCCCGCCCCCCGUCAUACUAUAGCCUAUUCCCAAGCUCUAGUCCUUCACAUGUUACUGGUCUUGUGAAGUCAGAUUACAGAACACUUGUGUGCACUGCAUUCUGGACCCCCCCCAGCCCCACCCCCUGCCAGACGGUACCAGAUUCCGCCGGGAGCUGGGUCCCUGUGCCGCACUCUGAUGAAGCUUCUCUGAAACCAAUACAGAAAGGCUUCGGUGCGUUGAGAAGCUGUAGUUAACAUCAAAACAUCUCAUUGGCUUUCAUGGACGCCAGAGGAGGUCCCAUGUCAAACAUGCUUGCUUUUUUCCCCUCCAGUUUAACAUGGACUCUUUUAAGACAUUUUUUUUUCAAAAGAAUCACCAGUGUAAAGUGUCCUACGAGUUUCCGCCAUCCAGAAUAACCACAGAAAUAACCACAUUUUUGUUUUAGCUGCAGUGAAGUUCUCUGUUCAAAUUGGAUGUUUUUUUUUCUAAAAAAAAAAAAUGCUGUUCCAGUUUCUCAGAUUGUAUGAAACCUAACAAAGGCACUGUGGUUACAGCAGUGUUUGUGUGUGUUUAUUUUAGCAUGUGUACCAGCCCUGGGACUGGCAAACAGCUUUCUUGUAUAGGAUUGUUGAAUAUCAUUUUUUCCAUUGGUCUUCCUAACUGACAGACAUUUUUUAUCAAAUACUUGUACACAGAUAUGAAACCACCGACAGUCUGAAGAUUUGACAGCUACCAAAAGCAGUUCCAAAAAGUACAGUAGUAACCCUCAGGACAUGUUCUUAUUAAAAAAAAUAAUUAAAAAUCCAUUAAAAACAGUAAAGUCAAAUAAAGGAUUUUGACUUGAUUUUUUCCCAUCAUUAGCACACUUUAAUUACAGAAUAACAGGUUAAAAAACACUGCUUUUUCAGUGUAAUCCUCGCCAUUCUCUAGUAAUAUAAUUAUACAAUGUUUUAUUCUAAUAUUGUAAUGUCUUUUUCAAAACAGGCAAUAUAUUAUUUUAUAUAUUUAUUUGGAGUUAGUGUUGCAUCUUAGUCUUUAACUACAGCCAAACAGUAAUAUAUUUUAAUGUAAAAUAAAGUUUCUAUCAGAAUAUGUUAAAAUCUUAAAUACUGAAUAUUAUUCCCAACUUUAAACUCAUUCCUUUCUAUGAUACCAUAAAUUUUAUUACUGUAGUAAUUUUCCUGCUUUUACACUGCUGACUACAGAGCAAAUCAUACGUGUUCAGUAAUAUAUACAGUAAUUAACUAUAUUCAUUUAACUCUAUUAGCUUCAGCAAGGAAGACCAAGAGGACAUACCCCUUCCUGCUUCUGUAAUGCCAUUGACACACCCUCACCAUAGCAUGAACAUGCCUUCUCCGUACCAUGGACACACCCCUCCUUGCCACGGGCCCGCCCUCUCCAUACCAUGGACACACCCUUCCUUGCCACGGGGCCGCCCUCUCUGUACCAUGGACACACCCCUCCUUACCACGGGGGCGCCUUCUCCGUACCAUGGACACACCCCUCCUUGCCACGGGCCCGCCCUCUCUGUACCAUGGACACACCCCUCCUUACCAGGGGGCCGCCUCCUCCAUACCAUGGACACACUCCUCCUUACCACGGGCCCGCCCUCUCCAUACCAUGGACACACCCCUCCUUGCCACGGGCCCGCCCUUUCCAUACCAUAGACACGCCCCAUGCUCUCACCGUACCCCUUACUGUACUACACGAUUAGCCUCUCUGUGCUUCUGUGAUACCAAGCUGCCACCGGAUCUUCCUACGUUUCCUCUAGUAAAUUUUAUUUUAAACUGCCAGAAAUGCCAACAAAACAGAGGAAUACCUUUGCAGCAUUUCCAGCGUGUCGAAGGAGGGCUUUGUCGCUUAGUUUUCUCCGUCGACGGCGAACCUGUAGGUCUCCGUGACGGAUCUCCCGCUUGACUCCCCGCUUCCGUAAACAUGACACCAAGGUUAAUGUCCUCUAAACAUUCUGCUUAAAAGCAAGGGAAUGUAGUAACAUUCACUAUUUUGUUUUUGUUUUGUUCUUAAUUUCCAAAAUGAAUUCUUUGAAACGAAGGAGCCACUGCCUUAAAAAGUAAUGUAUCAUGGCUUUUACACUAUAAGAAAACAAAUCAUUUGUCUCCAUCUCCAUUUCCUCUGUUCACAUGUGACACAGUGUAAAUUGAGCCUAUAAAGGUAUUUUCACAUACGAUUUGAGAUUAUGUGACAUAUUUCAUAGUGAUUAUUAUUCGUCUUGAGUCAAACGUGUGCCAGUCUCUUCUUAAGCUGAAUAUUCAGAUUUUAUUCUCUAAACACAGUAUUCAUUAUUUAAAUGCUGGCGAUCUGUCGAUAAUAGCAACUGCAGACAGGGUGAAUACGUUUGGUUUUAUAUACCAAACCCAUUUUGGUUGCAUUUAACAGUUUCAUAGCCACAGCCAAGACUAUCUGGGAACAGAAUGGAUCUUAGAAGUUGUGAAACUAGUUUCUGCCCACUGCACUAAAAAUGAGCGUUGGCUUGUUUGAAAAUGAAAACAGUCGGCAGGAUGAAGCCCACAAUGUACAAGACAGACUAUAAAACAGACAUUUCCACAGACAAUUUAGUAGACGGAUGACAGAACUGGCUGCCAGUUUUUUCUCCACUGUUUCUUCCCUCCCUUUCUGUAUAAGCGGUGUUAUUGAGGGUGCUGGAGGACCGGCCCGCGUGCCGCAUUUCCUCCGCGCCAAUUCAGCCAGCUCCACGGAUCUCAAACAGUAUGUCUUGCAUCUCAGGUAGAAUGCAACGUUUCCACCCCACUCACCAAUGAAACGGAAAUCGCAGAAUCACGUGGCAGAAGUUCUGGGUUUUAGUUGUACAUGUUUACGUGUUCUUGGAAUACAGUGCACUGUUUUAAACGUGUUGAGUAUUACUUUGCAUAGACCUAGUUCACAAAAGAAAGACUCCAGUCGUUCUGUGAUAGAGACAAGCCGGCUUGCUGUGCUACAAUCACUAGAAAGGUGCCACGUCCUGGAAGCUCGGGGCUGCUGAGGGUUUUUGGCCCAGGAAAGUUGGCCCUUCAUGAGGUUUAGGUAGAUUCUGUCUUUCUGCUGUACUUGGGCAAUGUUACUGUGUAUUAAUGAUGAAAAAAUAUCAACAUGUUCCCAUACACAUUUUGUAUUGGUUCAUAAAAAGACAUUUUUACAAAAAAAAAAUAAAAAGAGAGAGUACUUGUCUUAAUAAAAGAGUUAUUAAUGUUCAAAGUA